GGGAGAAUAGUUUAACUGGUAAAACUGAUUCUUAAUGUGAGUUCGAAUCUCACUUCUCUCU
This 61-nucleotide transfer RNA is filed under the name Caudoviricetes sp. Its description in RNAcentral is "tRNA-OTHER". It matches the Rfam family "tRNA". From Rfam's summary of the family: Transfer RNA (tRNA) molecules are approximately 80 nucleotides in length. Their secondary structure includes four short double-helical elements and three loops (D, anti-codon, and T loops). Further hydrogen bonds mediate the characteristic L-shaped molecular structure. tRNAs have two regions of fundamental functional importance: the anti-codon, which is responsible for specific mRNA codon recognition, and the 3' end, to which the tRNAs corresponding amino acid is attached (by aminoacyl-tRNA synthetases). tRNAs cope with the degeneracy of the genetic code in two manners: having more than one tRNA (with a specific anti-codon) for a particular amino acid; and 'wobble' base-pairing, i.e. permitting non-standard base-pairing at the 3rd anti-codon position. The record is from RNAcentral. Lineage: Duplodnaviria; Heunggongvirae; Uroviricota; Caudoviricetes.